GAUGACCAGUGAGUUGACGUUUUUGCCCCUCAGUUUCUCCUCGCUUCCCGCUUUGUUGCCUGCUUCGUACAGUGGAAAGACGGUUUUGCCCAUUCUUUCCACGCGUCCGUCAUCGUUGAUAUCUCGGCUUCGAGUUCGAGAGUAUUCUAGCUGUGUUCUUCUACGAUUGUUUGUUCUUCUUAAAUAUUGUGGUCUUUGCAUCGAAAAAUAUUGGGGGAAAGUUCCUGCUUUUCGUAUUUCAAGGGAACUUAUUUCUGUUCUCUAAUUUGAUGAGGGUUUUGCAUCUUUUUAAACCCAGAGUUGUGGGUGUUUUGCCCAGCCUCAUAAAAUUGGUCUCUAUUUCUAGAGUUGCGAUCGGGAGGCAAAUAUUUCGCAGUUUUUGCGUUCGUCUUUGUCUGGGAUUCGCGAAUCUUAGCCGAAUCUGUUUCCUGUUUUCUUCUCCGUUUAAGCGCCGGUUGUCUUUAGAUCGUUGGGAAAUAAAUUUUAUACAACUGAGUUGUGGUCUUCACGAGCAGUGCUCCGUUUGCUGUCGUUUUGAACAUCACAAGAGCCGCCUCCCUCCCCACCACUUCCAACGUCUCCUCUCCUUCUAAGGCCGACUGUGGAUGUUUGUCUUUCUUCUCUCCUCUCUUUUUAUUUAUUUAUUUAUUUAUAAUUUUUUUUUUGGAAAUUAAGAUUGCCUACUUACUUCUUUUUCUUUUUUUUUUCCCUAUUUGUUUGUUGUUUUUUUAGUAUUUGCCACUUCUGCUGGUGCCCCUGAUAUGUCGUUAUUAUUAUGUUAAUGCUGCUUUGAUAUUUGUUUGUUGUUUUUUUAGUGCAUGAGAUCGAUCUUUGUUUUAUUAUUAUUUUUUUCAGCUGGUGUUUCAUCUUUCUUGCUACAUCAAUUUGAAGAAUCGGCUAAGAAAAAAAAAAUUAGAAUGAGUUGGAAACUGAGUAGAAAAAUAUUAGAGAGAGAAACAAAGAAUGUGGUUUGAUAAUUGGUAAUAUGAUAAAUCCUUGGGGACAUAUAUAUUAUAUCAAGUUAGCUUAGAAUUUUUUGAUUAAUUUUGAUUAAAAUUUGAUCAUAUAAAAUAAAACAAUUUAUACAUAUUGGAAAUAUGCAUUAAAAAGUUUAAGUCUCACAUUACAUGGAUAAGAAUGACUUUUUUAGAUGUUUAAAUGUUUUUUAUUGAAGAGUGUUUUGUGUUUCUACUGCCGAUAACCAAAUGUUGUAAUGUAUACUUUAAUAUAUUUUCUUGCUGAUAAGCAAAGAGGUUUUUCGUCAAAAAUAUUAGUUGCUGUUUUCGAGUUGCUCCAUUUCUUUCAAAGUUUAUUUCCUUAAGGGAAUUAAGGUGUAUGAAGCAACAAGUUAUUAUGGUUCUGAUGCUUCUAAAAUUUAUGAUUACAGGUUUCAUUUGGCUGUUUGUUUUGCAUGUUUCAUUUUUGCAAAGUAAAGGACAUAUGCAACACCUUCCACGAUUUUAGAACACUUGAAGGUGAGACCUAAGAAAUAAAAUAGCGGUAUGAAAAGUUGUGAUGGCA
Molecule: long non-coding RNA, 1521 nt
Organism: Pyrus x bretschneideri (Chinese white pear)
Lineage: Eukaryota; Viridiplantae; Streptophyta; Magnoliopsida; Rosales; Rosaceae
Exons: 2
Source: RefSeq, a predicted model, not a curated record